Molecule: transfer-messenger RNA, 369 nt
Filed under: Sphingomonas quercus
Lineage: Bacteria; Pseudomonadati; Pseudomonadota; Alphaproteobacteria; Sphingomonadales; Sphingomonadaceae
Rfam family: Alphaproteobacteria transfer-messenger RNA
About the family: Bacterial tmRNA, also known as 10Sa RNA or SsrA, is named for its dual tRNA and mRNA-like properties.
Source: RNAcentral
CCCCUUUUCGCCGGGCCUCGGGGCGCCUAUAUCGGGGGUGCCGGGUUCGCCCGGCUAUGGUGAUAAAUGAUGUCGUGAAAUAGAUGCAGCGGACCCGGGGGCAGUACCCGGCGGCUCCACCAUCAUCGGCGGCGGGCCUCCCCGAUCCCUAGGGGGGAGAAGCCGCCGAUCCUGAUGGGGCCGAACCAGGAUCGACGUGUAUUCAAAGACGACGUUUUUGCCCGGCCUGAUUGAGCCGUUAAACCGAUCAAAACCACAAGUGCCAACGACAACGAGGCGCUCGCGAUUGCCGCGUAAUCAAGGCCUAACGGCUUAGAUUACAAGGCUUGAACGCGGUUCGGGCCGCACCGGGCAACAGAAGCGGACACC